GAUGAACGCUGGCGGCGUGCCUAAUACAUGCAGGUCGAGCGAACAGACGAGGAGCUUGCUCCUCUGACGUUAGCGGCGGACGGGUGAGUAACACGUGGAUAACCUACCUAUAAGACUGGGAUAACUUCGGGAAACCGGAGCUAAUACCGGAUAAUAUAUUGAACCGCAUGGUUCAAUAGUGAAAGACGGUUUUGCUGUCACUUAUAGAUGGAUCCGCGCCGCAUUAGCUAGUUGGUAAGGUAACGGCUUACCAAGGCAACGAUGCGUAGCCGACCUGAGAGGGUGAUCGGCCACACUGGAACUGAGACACGGUCCAGACUCCUACGGGAGGCCGCAGUAGGGAAUCUUCCGCAAUGGGCGAAAGCCUGACGGAGCAACGCCGCGUGAGUGAUGAAGGUCUUCGGAUCGUAAAACUCUGUUAUUAGGGAAGAACAAAUGUGUAAGUAACUAUGCACGUCUUGACGGUACCUAAUCAGAAAGCCACGGCUAACUACGUG
RNAcentral lists this ribosomal RNA (497 nucleotides) under uncultured bacterium. Its description in RNAcentral is "partial 16S ribosomal RNA". It matches the Rfam family "Bacterial small subunit ribosomal RNA", at positions 28 to 507 of the family's 1533-position model. The record is from RNAcentral.